GAUGAACGCUGGCGGCGUGCCUAAUACAUGCAAGUCGAGCGAACAGACGAGGAGCUUGCUCCUCUGACGUUAGCGGCGGACGGGUGAGUAACACGUGGAUAACCUACCUAUAAGACUGGGAUAACUUCGGGAAACCGGAGCUAAUACCGGAUAAUAUAUUGAACCGCAUGGUUCAAUAGUGAAAGACGGUUUUGCUGUCACUUAUAGAUGGAUCCGCGCCGCAUUAGCUAGUUGGUAAGGUAACGGCUUACCAAGGCAACGAUGCGUAGCCGACCUGAGAGGGUGAUCGGCCACACUGGAACUGAGACACGGUCCAGACUCCUACGGGAGGAAGCAGUAGGGAAUCUUCAGCAAUGGGCGAAAGCCUGACGGAGCAACGCCGCGUGAGUGAUGAAGGUCUUCGGAUCGUAAAACUCUGUUAUUAGGGAAGAACAAAUGUGUAAGUAACUAUGCACGUCUUGACGGUACCUAAUCAGAAAGCCACGGCUAACUACGUG
Molecule: ribosomal RNA, 497 nt
Filed under: uncultured bacterium
Lineage: Bacteria
Description: partial 16S ribosomal RNA
Rfam family: Bacterial small subunit ribosomal RNA
Source: RNAcentral